RNAcentral lists this ribosomal RNA (229 nucleotides) under uncultured bacterium. RNAcentral describes it as "partial 16S ribosomal RNA". It matches the Rfam family "Bacterial small subunit ribosomal RNA", at positions 568 to 796 of the family's 1533-position model. The record is from RNAcentral.
UGCGUAGGCGGAUCAGUAAGUCAGUGGUGAAAUCUUUCGGCUCAACCGGGAAACUGCCAUUGAUACUGUUGAUCUUGAGUUCAGCAGAGGUAGGCGGAAUGUGUAAUGUAGCGGUGAAAUGCUUAGAUAUUACACAGAACACCAAUUGCGUAGGCAGCUUACUAUACCGACACUGACGCUGAGGCACGAAAGCGUGGGGAGCGAACAGGAUUAGAUACCCUGGUAGUCC